GAAACGAACGCUGGCGGCGUGGAUAAGACAUGCAAGUCGAACGGGACUAAAUCUGUAGCAAUACAGGUUUAGUUUAGUGGCGAACGGGUGCGUAACACGUGGGCAAUCUGCCGAGAAGUGGGGGAUAGCUCGCCGAAAGGCGAAUUAAUACCGCAUAUGAUCAGUGAAGACAUCUUCACGACAUCAAAGCCGGGGCAACCUGGCGCUUCUUGAUGAGCCCGCGGCCUAUCAGCUAGUUGGUGAGGUAACGGCUCACCAAGGCUAUGACGGGUANCUGGUCUGAGAGGACGACCAGU
RNAcentral lists this ribosomal RNA (296 nucleotides) under uncultured bacterium. Its description in RNAcentral is "partial 16S ribosomal RNA". It matches the Rfam family "Bacterial small subunit ribosomal RNA", at positions 29 to 308 of the family's 1533-position model. The record is from RNAcentral.